Molecule: ribosomal RNA, 408 nt
Filed under: uncultured bacterium
Lineage: Bacteria
Description: partial 16S ribosomal RNA
Rfam family: Bacterial small subunit ribosomal RNA
Source: RNAcentral
AUUGAACGCUGGCGGCGUGCCUAAUACAUGCAAGUCGAACGGAGUGGCGCACGGGUGAGUAAUGUAUAGAUAAUCUGCCCUACACUAGAGGACAACAGUUGGAAACGGCUGUUAAUACUCCAUAUUUUAGGAUGAGGAUAUAUUGAAUCAGUUAGUGGGUGAGGUAAUGGCUCACCAAGGCUAUGACGCAUAACUGGUCUGAGAGGAUGAGCAGUCACACUGGAACUGAGACACGGUCGAGACUCCUACGGGAGGCAGCAGUAGGGGAUAUUGCUCAAUGGGGGAAACCCUGAAGCAGCUACGCCGCGUGGAGUAUGACACUUUUCGGAGCGUAAACUCCUUUUGUUAGGGAAGCGGUACCUAACGAAUAAGCACCGGCUAACUCCGUGCCAGCAGCCGCGGUAAUAC